CUCUAGAUGUUGCUGAACUACAACUCCCUUGAUUCUAUGAAUGAAAUAGAUAGGCUGAGAAUCAUCAUGGGAGUUGUAGUUCAGCAACAUCUGGAG
This 96-nucleotide microRNA precursor is filed under the name Pelobates cultripes (western spadefoot toad). The record is from RNAcentral. Lineage: Eukaryota; Metazoa; Chordata; Amphibia; Anura; Pelobatidae.